RNAcentral lists this ribosomal RNA (253 nucleotides) under uncultured bacterium. RNAcentral's name for it is "partial 16S ribosomal RNA". It matches the Rfam family "Bacterial small subunit ribosomal RNA", at positions 524 to 776 of the family's 1533-position model. The record is from RNAcentral.
UACGUAGGGUGCAGGCGUUAAUCGGAAUUACUGGGCGUAAAGCGUGCGCAGGCGGUUUGCUAAGACAGGUGUGAAAUCCCCGGGCUUAACCUGGGAACUGCGCUUGUAACUGGCAAGCUAGAGUGUGGCAGAGGGGGGUGGAAUUCCACGUGUAGCAGUGAAAUGCGUAGAGAUGUGGAGGAACACCGAUGGCGAAGGCAGCCCCCUGGGCUAACACUGACGCUCAUGCACGAAAGCGUGGGGAGCAAAAGGG